GUUUCAAGUGAUUAUGAAAACUUUGAUAUUUAAUAUCGCACUGAGGAAGUAUAUGCAGGAACAAAUUGUUAUUUAGGAAUUCUUCGUUUAUGAUCAAAC
This 99-nucleotide small nucleolar RNA is filed under the name Huiozyma naganishii CBS 8797. RNAcentral's name for it is "Kazachstania naganishii CBS 8797 Small nucleolar RNA snR57". It matches the Rfam family "Small nucleolar RNA snR57". Rfam says of the family: snR57 is a member of the C/D class of snoRNA which contain the C (UGAUGA) and D (CUGA) box motifs. Most of the members of the box C/D family function in directing site-specific 2'-O-methylation of substrate RNAs. Lineage: Eukaryota; Fungi; Ascomycota; Saccharomycetes; Saccharomycetales; Saccharomycetaceae. The record is from Rfam by way of RNAcentral.